Onthophagus taurus is the source of this 188-nucleotide non-coding RNA. The record is from RefSeq and is a predicted model, not a curated record. Lineage: Eukaryota; Metazoa; Arthropoda; Insecta; Coleoptera; Scarabaeidae.
GUAUUGUAUUUAAGGAUUCUGUAAACCAGAUUUAAUCCAGAAAAUAAUAAUAAUUUUUCUUCUUGGAUUUGAUUUCUAAUCGCCUAACCAACUUCACGAAUUUAUCGUUUGCAACAUAAGUUAAUCACAAGAUCAGCAAUUUCAUGACUACUUUUCAUUUUUAUAUAAGAAUUUAUCGUUUGCAUCAU